CGCUGGAGUUUUUCGAAACACAUGCAUUUUCUCGCUCUCCACUCUCCAUCAUCUCUGCAAGUCCCUUGUUCGCUUCCUACAUUUCCCACACUUCCUCAAAUUUUUGAUUUACCAAAACCCUAUUCUCAUCUUCAUUCCCUGAUUGUCCCAAAUUUCCGAAAAUCCUUUGAAAACCUAUUUCCAAAAUCCUUUGUUUCUUUGUCUUUUCUAAUCUCCAAAUUUCUUCUUCGAUUAACCUAGCCAUCACUUGUACCUUCACAGAGUAAACCCUAAAUCUAUUUUUCUUUUCUUACACAAUACCCAUUAUCGUCACAGAAAGAAGAGAGAAGAGAAUGAAGUUCAAACCUAGGGUUUCCUCUAGUCCGCGCAAGAGCGGCAAGGCGCAUUUCAUAGCACCGCCAAAGACCCUAGCACCCCCGCUGAUCUCAAAUUGGUGCAUUAGCAUUUUCAAUUUGUUUGAUAUUUUUGUGAAAUCUUGUUUUCGCGCUGAGAUUUUUGUUUUUGUAUUUUCUUUCCUUAAAUUGGUUGUGUAUAUGAAC
This 539-nucleotide long non-coding RNA is filed under the name Phaseolus vulgaris (common bean). Its description in RNAcentral is "long non-coding RNA (PVUL_LNC003650)". Lineage: Eukaryota; Viridiplantae; Streptophyta; Magnoliopsida; Fabales; Fabaceae. The record is from RNAcentral.